RNA transcript from Dryobates pubescens (Downy woodpecker), 1765 nucleotides. It is a transcript of the gene named tropomyosin 4, with no coding region annotated. The transcript is spliced from 10 exons. NCBI's taxonomy places the organism in Eukaryota, Metazoa, Chordata, Aves, Piciformes, Picidae. The record is from RefSeq and is a predicted model, not a curated record.
UCAUUAGCCUUAUGCCAUUAUUACAAGAAACCAGACCAUCCCCAUAGAUCUAUUGGGCUGUUUAAUUGCUCUGCAAACACAGAGGGGUGCUAAUAAGCUUUCUUUCAAGCAUGUGUUCAUGUGUCAACACUUCUGCUUCUGUCAGAAGCUUAAAAAUGGAAACAGUUUUCUCUUUAAGAAAACAGGACCCAAAUAAGGAGAUGAUGGAGUGGUGAAGAUUCCUCUAGCGAGUCUGUUCCAGCUCAUUCCUUAGAAAGGCUGUGUAUGAAAGACCAGAGAAGGGCCAAUAGAUCUGGGCUUUGUCCAGGGGUCUCUGGGUUUAAAGCUCUCUACAAGCACUUGAGCUCAUUUUCCCUGUGCCACGGGCUGGGUACAACUUGUUUCUCUGCCCAAGCUGUUAGAAACCUGAAACUUUACUCCUUGGGAAUUCUUUCAGUAGCACCAGAGAUCCAACCUAUCCUUUAGCAAAAAAUGGAAGCCAUCAAGAAAAAGAUGCAGAUGUUGAAGUUAGACAAGGAGAAUGCCAUUGACAGAGCAGAGCAGGCUGAAACGGAUAAGAAGGCAGCAGAGGACAAAUGCAAACAGGUGGAGGAUGAGCUGGUAGCUCUGCAGAAGAAGCUGAAAGGAACUGAAGAUGAACUGGAUAAGUACUCGGAGGCUCUCAAGGAUGCCCAGGAGAAGCUAGAGCAGGCUGAAAAGAAGGCCACUGAUGCUGAAGGUGAGGUGGCAGCUCUCAACAGACGGAUUCAGCUAGUGGAAGAGGAGCUGGAUCGUGCCCAAGAACGGCUGGCCACAGCCUUGCAGAAGCUGGAGGAGGCUGAGAAAGCAGCAGAUGAGAGUGAGAGAGGAAUGAAGGUUAUUGAGAACAGAGCCAUGAAAGAUGAAGAGAAAAUGGAAAUUCAGGAGAUGCAGCUGAAGGAGGCGAAGCACAUCGCCGAGGAGGCUGACCGCAAAUACGAGGAGGUCGCUCGCAAGCUGGUGAUUUUGGAGGGUGAACUGGAAAGAGCUGAGGAGCGUGCAGAGGUGUCUGAAGUUAAAUGCAGUGACCUUGAGGAGGAGUUAAAGAACGUCACCAACAACCUGAAGUCUUUGGAAGCUCAGUCUGAAAAGUACUCGGAAAAAGAAGAUAAAUACGAAGAAGAAAUCAAGAUUCUCUCUGACAAGCUUAAAGAAGCUGAAACUCGUGCUGAGUUUGCAGAGAGAACAGUUGCCAAACUGGAGAAGUCUAUUGAUGACCUGGAAGACGAGCUGUAUGCUCAGAAGCUGAAGUACAAAGCGAUCAGUGAGGAGCUUGACCAUGCUCUCAAUGACAUGACCUCCCUGUGAGCUGCUCUGCUGCAGCCCCUAAGCUUCUCUUGCCUCUCAUACCUGUCACUCCUGUGCACCUUCCACAAGCGAUCCUUCCACCUCCUCUAAAAACUUGCUCAAGCCAAAGAAGAGAACUUGGGGUUACAUCAGACACUGGACCAGACACUAAACGAACUGAACUGUAUAUGACAUGGUGGAGAACCCCCAGCGGCCAAGGGACCCUUCUCUCUGCAUUUACUUAUUGCUCCUCUCUCCUCUUUCUCUCUCUCUUUUCUCUCCUGGAAAAAAUAAAUUAUGAACAGUCAGACACCCACAGAGCCCUUCCAGGGGGUCAGCAGCUUGUGGCUUGUCCUGGCGGUUCAUUACUCCUGUUUAUGUACCUGGUAGCAGCUGUACCCCUGCUGUAGCGUCACCCGCCGCGAGCCUCUGACGGACCUUUCAUAUUAAACAGUUUUAC